AACGAACGCUGGCGGCGUGCCUAACACAUGCAAGUCGUGCGAGAAAGUUCCUUCGGGAGCGAGUAAAGCGGCGCACGGGUGAGUAACACGUAGGUAACCUGCCCCCCAGUCUGGAACAACUAGAGGAAACUCUAGCUAAUGCCGGAUGAGACCACGAUCCCUUCGGGGGGUUGCGGGCCAAAGAUGGCCUCUACUUGUAAGCUAUCGCUGAGGGAUGGGCCUGCGGGCCAUUAGCUUGUUGGUGAGGUAACGGCUCACCAAGGCUGUGAUGGCUAGCUGGUCUGAGAGGAUGACCAGCCACACUGGGACUGAGACACGGCCCAGACUCCUACGGAGGCAGCAGUGGGGAAUAUUGCGCAAUGGGCGAAAGCCUGACGCAGCGACGCCGCGUGGGUGAGUGAAGGCC
Molecule: ribosomal RNA, 406 nt
Filed under: uncultured bacterium
Lineage: Bacteria
Description: bacterial SSU rRNA
Rfam family: Bacterial small subunit ribosomal RNA
Source: RNAcentral